GCAAGUCGAGCGCGCCCUUCGGGGUGAGCGGCGGACGGGUGAGUAACGCGUGGGAAUAUACCCAAAGGUACGGAAUAGCCUCGGGAAACUGAGAGUAAUACCGUAUGUGCCCUUCGGGGGAAAGAUUUAUCGCCUUUGGAUUAGCCCGCGUUGGAUUAGGUAGUUGGUGGGGUAAUGGCCUACCAAGCCUACGAUCUAUAGCUGGUUUGAGAGGAUGAUC
Molecule: ribosomal RNA, 220 nt
Filed under: uncultured bacterium
Lineage: Bacteria
Description: partial 16S ribosomal RNA
Rfam family: Bacterial small subunit ribosomal RNA
Source: RNAcentral